UCUCUCUUUUUCUCUCUCACUCACACACACACACACACACACACACACACAUUUGCAGACCAGCAAAAGGGGCACGUUUAUGCACACCAAGAAUUAGCAUGCAUCGGACACAACUCCCCAUCCUCUCAGCCUUAUGUCCAAGCGCAGUGUUAUUUUUCUACAUAGGUACAAUAAAGAAACGUAAAAAUACAUUAAAACACAGCGUAAAGCUCUGACGUUUCUCCGCCGAUCAAGUUACUUUCUGAGAAUACCUGUAAUUGCCCAGAAGUGUGAGCCACUCUUCACUGAAUUAACACAACGCCUGCCUUAAUUCCGCAAAUACAAUCGAAUGAUGUAUCACUUGGGUUUAAAUCCAUCAUCGGUGUAUUAGAAUCACACUAAAAGAUGAUUUGUAACCAAUAGACGCAGCACAUAUACAUAAAAGACAAUGCAAUAAAACUGUUAAGUGCAUCUUCAAUCCCCGUGUAGUGUAAGACAGGCAGAACUCUUGCACGAAUCGGACAUUUAAGGUUUCGACUUACCUUUAAGGGCAGGAAAGUAUCCAUUAUGUGCCGCCGCGAGCUUUAAACGGUACACUCUUUUUUUUCCUGCUUCGAGUCUAAAGCCGCUCCCUUCCCAUUCAUGCACUAAUUCCAGAAGAGGAACUGCAAAAGCAACUGCCCGACCAGCCGCAUAUCGCUUCUUCUCUCGCUCCUGACAAUUUUUCCCCCCACCAGCAGAUGCUCUGGAAAAACCUGCGCUUUUGCCGGGAGCCAAGCUGCGACACAGAGCUUCACAGCAUUUUUUGUAGUUUUUCCCUUUAAGUAAAAAUAACUAGCUCGCUGCUGUGUGGGCUCGUCUGCAUAUUUCCAUGUGAGAGUGCAGCUACAUGGCAUAGGCGUUUGUCUAUUUUUUCCCCCCGCGGUGCAGUAAUUACUAGUGUUCACGUCCUUGGAAUCGGUUGCUUCUCUUUUGUUCCUAAACACUUAUCCAAGCAGAAAGAAUGUCUCCUUUUAAAACGAAGUAAAGGCCGUAAGUCCAGAAGAAAACUUUCUUGUUUGUUUUCAGUGAUUCGGAAGUUAUUAGUUAGUCCAAGAGUGAGCAGAUGGCGAGACGCGAAAUCUGCGCCAGAAAGACUGCAAUGGAGCGGCGGAUAACCCUAGAUGGCACAAACACCAUGAAGUAUCACGGAGCCCAAUGGACAGGCGGUGGAUGGGGGAGAGGGGGGCAGAGACAGGCAGGUCACCCAGACGUGCAGUGCAUGGCAGUCAAUCAGCUGUUAACGCUGGAUGAGAAGUCUCCACCUGUAUUUACUCUAGAAGACUCUAUAGCACUGAAAGGAGUCCAAUACAGUCCACCUCCUCCCCAUCUCCAUCUGACAGACACCUCAGUCAGAGCUCCAUCCAAGCCUCAGUCUUCAUCUUCUAGACUCUGGGGUGGUCCUGUCCUAAAUCCUAUCACUGCUGGGAUUCCAUUCUGCAAUGAUGGGUCAUCAGAGUCCAAUCACCACAUAUAUUAAUUUCUCAAUCUCAGUAAAUCCUGUUCAGUUCUUUAAAGUGAUCUCUCCUUAUUGAAAUAGCAUAAUUACCAUUGAACUAUGCACUUUGUCAAGUAUAUUGCCAUAGCGUCUGUUUAGGUUCACUUCCUAAAAUCGCUCUCUGGGUAGUCACAUCCCUGUCAUGGUCCGGAGUCUGCGACUCCGUGUUUAUGUUUAGUCUAUUAGUAUUCUGUGGUUUUGGUUACCUUGGGUGUUUGUAUUCUUCUGUUCAUGUUCCUAUGUUCUGUGUCCCCCAGUCUGUGUUUAGUUGGUGUGUUAUGUCAUUGCGUGUAUGUGUUUCCUGUUUUAUUGUGAAGGUCUGCGUCUUAUGUGAGUGUUUUCAGUUUGCCUCCCUAGUCUCGUCACGAUAAUCACUCCCAGCUGUGUUCCCCACCUGCGUGUAAUCUCCCUGUGUUCUCUGGGUGUAUUUAAGUUGUGUCUUCUGUCAUGGUAGUUGCUGGUUCGUCUGUGUUGUUUCCCCUCGGUCUCCCUGCGUCUUCCUGUAUGUAUUUCUCCGGACCUCCCUGCAUCCUCGUUUCUGGUUUGUCUUAUUAGUUUACCCAGUUUAGGUUUCCAGUUUCAUGUUUUGUCGCCACCGUUGUUUGUACUUACCCACCUCUGUGAAUAAACACUCACCUGCACCAGAGCUGCCGCCUUUUGGUCCCUUUCUACAAUUCCACACGGCUUGCCCCGGCAAUCCGUGACAAUCCCACAUUAAAAUGUGAAGCCUAGAGCUUCUUAUAA
Astatotilapia calliptera (eastern happy) is the source of this 2260-nucleotide long non-coding RNA. The record is from Ensembl. Lineage: Eukaryota; Metazoa; Chordata; Actinopteri; Cichliformes; Cichlidae.